GACGAACGCUGGCGGCGUGCUUAACACAUGCAAGUCGAACGAAGUGGCGAACGGGUGGGUAACGCGUAAUCAACCUGCCCUUCAGAGGGGGACAACAGUUGGAAACGACUGCUAAUACCGCAUACUGAAGGAGGGGAUUGCGUCUGAUUAGCAAGUUGGAGGGGUAACGGCCCACAAAGGCGAUGAUCAGUAGCCGUUCUGAUAGGAUGAACGGCCACAUUGGGACUGAGACACGUCCCAGAGGCCUACGGGAGGCAGCAGUGGGAAAUCGUCCGCAAUGGACGAAAGUCUGACGGAGCAACGCCGCGGGAGUGAUGACGGCCUUCGGGUUGUAAAGCUCUGUUAAUCGGGACGCGGUACCGGAAUAGAAAGCCACGGCUAACUACUUGCCAGCAGCCGCGGUAAUAC
RNAcentral lists this ribosomal RNA (408 nucleotides) under uncultured bacterium. Its description in RNAcentral is "partial 16S ribosomal RNA". It matches the Rfam family "Bacterial small subunit ribosomal RNA", at positions 28 to 526 of the family's 1533-position model. The record is from RNAcentral.